This 250-nucleotide unclassified non-coding RNA is filed under the name plant metagenome. RNAcentral's name for it is "partial contains small subunit ribosomal RNA, internal transcribed spacer 1, and 5.8S ribosomal RNA". The record is from RNAcentral.
GUAGGUGAACCUGCGGAAGGAUCAUUAACUAGUAUUGAAGUCCACGGGGAUCAGGCUUUCCGAAAGGAGGGUGGGGGGAUGUUUGGUUCCCCCUGCUUGGGCAGACUGGAGAGCAUGGUGUAACCACAUUUUGUGGCGUAAUUAUGUUUGGCCUCUGCUGAUCGAGCUUGUCACCUGAAUUCUACUACCCUUGCUUUUUGCGCACCCAUUGUUUCCUCGGCAGGCUUGCCUGCCAGUAGGACCCUUUAAA